UACGUAGGGUGCAAGCGUUAAUCGGAAUUACUGGGCGUAAAGCGUGCGCAGGCGGUUGUGUAAGACAGAUGUGAAAUCCCCGGGCUUAACCUGGGAACUGCAUUUGUGACUGCAUGGCUGGAGUGCGGCAGAGGGGGAUGGAAUUCCGCGUGUAGCAGUGAAAUGCGUAGAGAUGCGGAGGAACACCGAUGGCGAAGGCAGCCCCCUGGGCCAACACUGACGCUCAGGCACGAAAGCGUGGGGAGCAAACAGG
This 253-nucleotide ribosomal RNA is filed under the name uncultured bacterium. RNAcentral's name for it is "partial 16S ribosomal RNA". It matches the Rfam family "Bacterial small subunit ribosomal RNA", at positions 524 to 776 of the family's 1533-position model. The record is from RNAcentral.